Molecule: long non-coding RNA, 947 nt
Organism: Homo sapiens (human)
Lineage: Eukaryota; Metazoa; Chordata; Mammalia; Primates; Hominidae
Gene: MIR924HG
Product: MIR924 host gene
Source: Ensembl
CUUCCUGUGUGGAACUUGGGAUUCGAACGGCAGGCGGGAAGUGCUCUAGCAGGGGAGUCUGACCUUGUGAGGGAAUACCUGUGUCCCCCCUUUUUUCCCCUUUUUACCCAAUAAAACCCUGCCUUACUCACCCUUUAAAUCAUCUGCGAGCCUGAAUUUUCAUGGCCGUGGGACGGACAAGAACUUUAUCUUCAGCUGAACUAAGAAAAAGUCCUGCAACAUUUUUGGCGCGCAAUGUGGGGGCACCAGAAGCGGGCACCGUUGAGCUGUUGCAACUGUUCUGCUGAGGAAUGAUCACCUGAGAACAUAGCGAGUAUGUGACCAAUUGCAAGAAAAGGAGAGGCCUCAGAAGAAAUCAACCCUACAGACACUUUAAUCUUGGACUUCUGUCUUUCAGAACUAUGAAACAUAGAUCUCAGGACUCUCACCUAUUGGAGACACAAUAACAGUACUCCAGGAAGCUCAGUAAACCACCUUAAAGGCAGCAAUCCUCAGCAGGCCCACGGUAGCUGUUUAGCUAAGAGAGGAUGAGAGACACUGGGCCUCACUACACAUCAUUUCCAGGAAGUCGGGACUCCAAAAAUGAGACAACUAUGAUGAUACAUCCCCUUAAAGGUUCUUCAUUGUACUAUGGAUUUUUUAAAAUUGUAAGUCAAGUUCCAAGUUCUGUGAAUCUACUGAUUUUAAGUCUGUGACUCAAACUGUGCCACAAGGAGUGCGUCUUUUCUGUUUCCCUAGGCUGCUAACAAUCUAAAUUCCUCACAUCAUAUCUCCCUAUCAUCUCUAAAUUGUACACCUGCCUGGCCAAUGUCUUUACUUUCCUAGAAUACGAAAGGUAUUUGUUUAAGCUUUAUGAAAGGGAAGAAGAAAGGAAAGAAAGAAGGAAGGAAGGAAAAAGGAAGAAAUGAGAAAGAGAGAGAAAGAAAGAAAGCAAGAAAGAAAGAGAA